RNAcentral lists this ribosomal RNA (402 nucleotides) under uncultured bacterium. RNAcentral describes it as "bacterial SSU rRNA". It matches the Rfam family "Bacterial small subunit ribosomal RNA", at positions 358 to 774 of the family's 1533-position model. The record is from RNAcentral.
GGGAUAUUGCACAAUGGGGGAAACCCUGAUGCAGCAACGCCGCGUGAGGGAUGAAGGUUUUCGGAUUGUAAACCUCUGUCCUUAGUGAAGAAACAAAUGACGGUAACUAAGGAGGAAGCUCCGGCUAACUACGUGCCAGCAGCCGCGGUAAUACGUAGGGAGCGAGCGUUGUCCGGAUUUAUUGGGUGUAAAGGGUGCGUAGGCGGCUAUGUAAGUCAGACGUGUAAUGCAGGGGCUUAACCCCUGAACUGCGUUUGAAACUGUGUAGCUUGAGUGGAGUAGAGGCAGAUGGAAUUUCCAGUGUAGCGGUGAAAUGCGUAGAUAUUGGAAGGAACACCAGUGGCGAAGGCGAUCUGCUGGGCUCUAACUGACGCUGAGGCACGAAAGCAUGGGGAGCAAACA